AAACAAACUGGUGGUAAAAUAUUCUGGGAGGACAUUUUGGAUUUUUUCCAGUAUGCAUCACGAAUUAUCAACACAAAUUCUCCAUGCCCUGACUGCAACCUUCAGAAGUCCUCUUUGGUCCAUUUCAUAUAAUCAGCAUCCCUUAACUGUCCAAAACUAGUUCAUGGGAAGUCAAAAAAAGGAUGGGAUGUGUGAUAUCUAUCACUGUUCCUGACUGGUGUGGGAGAAGUCUCUCUAGCUGCUAAUUGGGAAACAGUUCUGUGGAAUUUCAAAAGAACUCUCAAUUUCAAACCAUAGUGAUUCCAGAUCCAACAGAAAUAUGAAGACAAGCAGUGGCUCCAAACUGCAACGUUUUACCCUUCUAAAUGCUUGCUACAGACUCUUACUACGAAUUUCAGUCUUGGUUCCAUGAACUGAACCCA
Molecule: long non-coding RNA, 422 nt
Organism: Chiroxiphia lanceolata (lance-tailed manakin)
Lineage: Eukaryota; Metazoa; Chordata; Aves; Passeriformes; Pipridae
Exons: 4
Source: RefSeq, a predicted model, not a curated record